UUGAUAGAAACCAAAGUAGAGGUAUAUUACUGUUAAUGAUAAAAUUGAAUUUUUUAAUUCCUAUCAAG
Molecule: transfer RNA, 68 nt
Filed under: Neoepisesarma lafondi
Lineage: Eukaryota; Metazoa; Arthropoda; Malacostraca; Decapoda; Sesarmidae
Description: tRNA-Asn
Source: RNAcentral